CAAAUUUAAGUUUUUUAUUGUUUUCUUUCUUUCUUGAGUUAGGGUCAAGUAAUAGGGAACACAUUGAAUUAGUUUAAGACUCGAACUUUGAAUCGAGAACUGGGUAUUGAAAUGAGUUCAGGCAGUAAUUGGGUAUUGUCAAAACUAUUACGUUAACAUUUGGUUAUGAUCAUCGUACACGUACCUCAAAAUUAGCAUACUUACCUGUUAUAAUCUUAAUUCUUCAUGCUGUCUGAGAUUGUCUCCCCAUACGCACCUUUCUCCUUUUACUUUCUUUUAUCCUUAUCGACUCGUGGUACCAUCUCAAGUAUAUCCUUUGAUUUUUUUUUGUCCGUUUCAUGCCCUUUUUAUUUGAAAUU
Molecule: long non-coding RNA, 359 nt
Organism: Hibiscus syriacus
Lineage: Eukaryota; Viridiplantae; Streptophyta; Magnoliopsida; Malvales; Malvaceae
Exons: 3
Source: RefSeq, a predicted model, not a curated record